RNAcentral lists this ribosomal RNA (410 nucleotides) under uncultured Flavobacteriia bacterium. RNAcentral's name for it is "bacterial SSU rRNA". It matches the Rfam family "Bacterial small subunit ribosomal RNA", at positions 370 to 779 of the family's 1533-position model. Lineage: Bacteria; Pseudomonadati; Bacteroidota; Flavobacteriia. The record is from RNAcentral.
AAUGGAGGAAACUCUGAUCCAGCGAUGCCGCGUGAAGGAAGACGGCCUAUGGGUUGUAAACUUCUUUUAUACAGGAAGAACCUUUCCACGUGUGGAAAGCUGACGGUACUGUAAGAAUAAGGAUCGGCUAACUCCGUGCCAGCAGCCGCGGUAAUACGGAGGAUCCAAGCGUUAUCCGGAAUUAUUGGGUUUAAAGGGUCCGCAGGCUGUUUGUUAAGUCAGGGGUGAAAUCCCACCGCUCAACGGUAGAACUGCCUUUGAUACUGGCAAACUUGAGUUAUUGUGAAGUAGUUAGAAUGUGUAGUGUAGCGGUGAAAUGCAUAGAUAUUACACAGAAUACCAAUUGCGAAGGCAGAUUACUAACAAUUAACUGACGCUGAGGGACGAAAGCGUGGGUAGCGAACAGGAUU